This 878-nucleotide ribosomal RNA is filed under the name Bacillus velezensis. Its description in RNAcentral is "bacterial SSU rRNA". It matches the Rfam family "Bacterial small subunit ribosomal RNA", at positions 25 to 883 of the family's 1533-position model. Lineage: Bacteria; Bacillati; Bacillota; Bacilli; Caryophanales; Bacillaceae. The record is from RNAcentral.
CAGGACGAACGCGGGCGGCGUGCCUAAUACAUGCAAGUCGAGCGGACAGAUGGGAGCUUGCUCCCCGAUUUUAGCGGCCGAACGGGUGAGUAACACGUGGGUAACCUGCCUGUAAGACUGGGAUAACUCCGGGAAACCGGGGCUAAUACCGGAUGGUUGUCUGAACCGCAUGGUUCAGACAUAAAAGGUGGCUUCGGCUACCACUUACAGAUGGACCCGCGGCGCAUUAGCUAGUUGGUGAGGUAACGGCUCACCAAGGCGACGAUGCGUAGCCGACCUGAGAGGGUGAUCGGCCACACUGGGACUGAGACACGGCCCAGACUCCUACGGGAGGCAGCAGUAGGGAAUCUUCCGCAAUGGACGAAAGUCUGACGGAGCAACGCCGCGUGAGUGAUGAAGGUUUUCGGAUCGUAAAGCUCUGUUGUUAGGGAAGAACAAGUGCCGUUCAAAUAGGGCGGCACCUUGACGGUACCUAACCAGAAAGCCACGGCUAACUACGUGCCAGCAGCCGCGGUAAUACGUAGGUGGCAAGCGUUGUCCGGAAUUAUUGGGCGUAAAGGGCUCGCAGGCGGUUUCUUAAGUCUGAUGUGAAAGCCCCCGGCUCAACCGGGGAGGGUCAUUGGAAACUGGGGAACUUGAGUGCAGAAGAGGAGAGUGGAAUUCCACGUGUAGCGGUGAAAUGCGUAGAGAUGUGGAGGAACACCAGUGGCGAAGGCGACUCUCUGGUCUGUAACUGACGCUGAGGAGCGAAAGCGUGGGGAGCGAACAGGAUUAGAUACCCUGGUAGUCCACGCCGUAAACGAUGAGUGCUAAGUGUUAGGGGGUUUCCGCCCCUUAGUGCUGCAGCUAACGCAUUAAGCACUCCGCCUUGGGAAGUU